CCAUGGCUCAGAUUGAACGCUGGCGGCAGGCCUAACACAUGCAAGUCGAGCGGAUGAGAGGAGCUUGCUCCUGGAUUCAGCGGCGGACGGGUGAGUAAUGCCUAGGAAUCUGCCUGGUAGUGGGGGACAACGUUUCGAAAGGAACGCUAAUACCGCAUACGUCCUACGGGAGAAAGCAGGGGACCUUCGGGCCUUGCGCUAUCAGAUGAGCCUAGGUCGGAUUAGCUAGUUGGUGAGGUAAUGGCUCACCAAGGCGACGAUCCGUAACUGGUCUGAGAGGAUGAUCAGUCACACUGGAACUGAGACACGGUCCAGACUCCUACGGGAGGCAGCAGUGGGGAAUAUUGGACAAUGGGCGAAAGCCUGAUCCAGCCAUGCCGCGUGUGUGAAGAAGGUCUUCGGAUUGUAAAGCACUUUAAGUUGGGAGGAAGGGCAGUAAAUUAAUACUUUGCUGUUUUGACGUUACCGACAGAAUAAGCACCGGCUAA
This 488-nucleotide ribosomal RNA is filed under the name Pseudomonas sp. 01WB04.3-6. RNAcentral describes it as "bacterial SSU rRNA". It matches the Rfam family "Bacterial small subunit ribosomal RNA", at positions 17 to 500 of the family's 1533-position model. The record is from RNAcentral. Lineage: Bacteria; Pseudomonadati; Pseudomonadota; Gammaproteobacteria; Pseudomonadales; Pseudomonadaceae.